Triticum urartu is the source of this 1967-nucleotide non-coding RNA. The record is from RefSeq and is a predicted model, not a curated record. Lineage: Eukaryota; Viridiplantae; Streptophyta; Magnoliopsida; Poales; Poaceae.
CGCUGCCCCACAACCCACUUCCUGCCUCUUUCUUCCUUGUCGAAGGAAGAGAUCACGAGAUACGGUCGCCCUGCUCCAACCCACUUCUCCUCCCCACGCACGCCACCUCCUUUCCCCCUCUCCUUCUCAGACCCACUCGCCGCGAAGACUGGAGGCAGAACGCGGCACGCGUCGGUCGACGAGGAGGAGCUGCGCCGCCGCCGGAGCACCGACUGCAUCUACUACCUCGCGCUCCCCGUUGACCUUCAAGAAGAAGUAGAUUGCACAUCUCAGGGAAAGCAUUCUCCAGUUGUUUUAUUUGUGAACGCCAUUGCUCAGGGCUCCAUAUGCACAUUCACAAACAUUAGUCGCCAAUGGAGCAGAGCGCCAUUGCUGAUGUAGCUUAAAAUGGUGGUCAGUGACCGACUGAGUGUGCUUGAAGUUUGAGGUGGAGUGCAAGGAGGAGGACACCCGGGUGGAGAUCUACUGCGCCGCCAAGCCGGGGCUACUGCUGUCGAUGGUGAGCACCCUGGACACACUGUCCCUCAACAUCCAGCAGUGCGUCGUCGACUGCUUCAACGACUUCGCCAUGCACGCCUCCUUCUCCAAGAUGCAGAGGGAGAUGUGCUGCUGGAUCUUAUAAGGAGGUCACUCUGACAAGACUGGCUAGCUGUGAUUCUCGUGGGAAUAAAGAGGAUGGGACCUGUGAUUGUCGUGGAUCUGGAGGUGACACUGAUCAGGAAGGUAAGUUUACUACGAUCUGGAGUAAUAUUACUAGAUUGCAAAUCAUGAAUUUAGUAGUUACUGCAGAAUAUUGGUUAGUUGGUUCAGUUUACCUUUCAUGUUUAUAUGGUCUAACGACAUCUGACAUAGCAGAUGCUUGGUCCAGCUGGAGAUAGCUUACAUGGUUUUAUUUCACCAUAAUAUAUUUCCAACAAGAUCGUUCCCUAUUGUUUCCUGAAGAAAACUAACGAACUGUAGAAAAAACAUUGUUUAGAGGAGUUAAUAUACAAUUUGUUGUCUUGCAAUUGGCUUCUAAAAUUUACAGCAGGAGUACGCAAUGAGUUUGAACAAAUGAAUGCAAAACCUACCAGAUUUUGCGAUGUUACUGUUUCUUGAUAUCUUCCUCAUUUGUAUUAUGUGUAUUCCUUAGUUGACAGCUAUUUUAAUGUAUACUCUCCCCUUAUUUUGAGGAAACUUCACGGGGCAGAGGAUCACUACAAUUUUUUGUUUCAAAUAGGAAAUGAACAAAACAUGAUUUUGCCAACCUCUCAUGUAGUAUAUAUGUACCUAUUUCAUAAAGUACAUCAGUUUAAAUACAAGUUUGCAACUCAUGACGAUGAGUCGAGGAGUGAAAGAAGUUUGGAACUCACACAAGUGUCAUACUCGCAUGACCAAAUCAGGCUACGAAGACAAGUCUUCAUGCGCACAUGAUUGCCGAUUUUAGUUACACAGUACCAUUUAAAAAGCGGCUGACAUUUGAUGAAUUGCUGAAGGGUGGUGGCUGGACACCAUGGGGGACAGUGUUCCAAGAUGGUUAGACGUUAGCUACUGAUUCACAAUCUAUCAAUCCUAUCUUCAUGUAUCUGUGUGUGUUAGGUUUCGACUUCCUUGUGAGGUGCCCUCCUCUUGAGUAUGCCAAUACUUCACGGUGGUGAGGUCUAUCUCGAUGGUAGACCGGUUGAUUGAUUAAAUGGCAAUAGGAGCAGCUUAGUGAGCCAGUGAUGCAACCGUGCAUCGUCUCUUGACGCUCCACUGUCGACCCCAGCUACUGCAUGUACAUAUGAUAUGCCAAUACUUCACGGUGGUGAGGUCUGUCUCGAUGGUAGACCGGUUGAUUGAUGGUAGACCGGUUGAUUGAUUAAAUGGCAAUAGGAGCAGCUUAGUGAGCCAGUGAUGCAACUGUGCAUCGUCUCUUGACGCAUCACUGUCGACCCCAGCUACUGCAUGUACAUAUGAUCCAUGUAUCGUGUUUAGUUUCUCACUAA